UGGGGAAUUUUGCACAAUGGGGGAAACCCUGAUGCAGCGACGCCGCGUGAUUUAGAAGGCCUUCGGGUUGUAAAAAUCUUUUCUAUGGGAAGAAAAUGACAGUACCAUAGGAAUAAGGACCGGCUAAUUACGUGCCAGCAGCCGCGGUAAUACGUAAGGUCCGAGCGUUGUCCGGAAUCAUUGGGCGUAAAGGGUACGUAGGCGGGUAAGCAAGUUAGAAGUGAAAUCCUAUAGCUCAACUAUAGUAAGCUUUUAAAACUGCUCAUCUUGAGGUAUGGAAGGGAAGGUGGAAUUCAUAGUGUAGCGGUGAAAUGCGCAGAUAUUAGGAGGAAUACCGGUGGCGAAGGCGACUUUCUGGCCAUAACCUGACGCUGAGGUACGAAAGCGUGGGUAGCAAACAGG
RNAcentral lists this ribosomal RNA (402 nucleotides) under bacterium. Its description in RNAcentral is "partial 16S ribosomal RNA". It matches the Rfam family "Bacterial small subunit ribosomal RNA", at positions 355 to 776 of the family's 1533-position model. The record is from RNAcentral.